Molecule: ribosomal RNA, 460 nt
Filed under: uncultured bacterium
Lineage: Bacteria
Description: partial 16S ribosomal RNA
Rfam family: Bacterial small subunit ribosomal RNA
Source: RNAcentral
CCUACGGGAGGCAGCAGUGAGGAAUAUUGGUCAAUGGCCGGAAGGCUGAACCAGCCAUGCCGCGUGAAGGUCAGUGCCCUAUGGGCGUUAAACUUCUUUUGUGCGGGAGCAAUAAUGGUCACGUGUGGCCAGACGAGAGUACCGUACGAAUAAGCAUCGGCUAACUCCGUGCCAGCAGCCGCGGUAAUACGGGGGGUGCAAGCGUUAUCCGGAUUUAUUGGGUUUAAAGGGUGCGUAGGCUGUGAGGUAAGUCAGCGGUGAAAUGCCCCCGCUCAACGGGGUGAAGUGCCAUUGAUACUGCCUGGCUGGAAUGCGGAUGCGGGAGGAGGAAUGUGUGGUGUAGCGGUGAAAUGCAUAGAUAUCACACAGAACACCGAUUGCGAAGGCAUCUCACGAAUCCGCGAUUGACGCUGAUGCACGAAAGCGUGGGUAUCAAACAGGAUUAGAUACCCUUGUAGUC